RNAcentral lists this unclassified non-coding RNA (305 nucleotides) under uncultured fungus. RNAcentral's name for it is "partial contains 5.8S ribosomal RNA, internal transcribed spacer 2, and large subunit ribosomal RNA". The record is from RNAcentral. Lineage: Eukaryota; Fungi.
AACGCACCUUGCACCGUACGAGCAAUCGUACGGUAUACCUGUUUGAGAAUCGUAAAACUCUCUUUCCGCUACAAGUUAGUGGAAGAUUUGUCGGUUGUGCAUCAGUGCACUCUGAUUAAAAGGAUCAAGUCUGAAUCGGGCUGGUGGCCUGGGACAUUGUGUGCUAGAGACGUCGCUUCGGCUGACUGUCUUCUCACAAUGCGUCCUUGGCUACUUAAAGCUGGUCUGAUUUCGGGCUUUUCAGUAGUAUAACUACAACCCCCCUUUUUGAUCUCAAAUCAGGUAAGGCUACCCGCUGAACUUAA